AGAGGACCCGCGCUCCGCCAAGGCACGUCGGCGAGCCGAUGCGCAGAGACCCGGCGCGCAGGGGCCCGCGACCCCCGUCCGACUGGCCGCCGGCGGACCCGCGCUCUGGGCACCAAGUUGAGGCGGGGGUUCUGGACGUCUGUGGUUCCGAGCUCUGCGAGCGGCUCCCAGGCCGGCCGGGGGAGAAGUCGCCACUCAGGGGUCACCAGGGGACCUGGCCCGAGCGCGUCCGGUGGUUAAAAGAGGCCUCUCCAAGGAAGUGCUGGUUAAGUAAAGAGCAGGGCGAGGAGCCAGAUGUGAAAGAUCAGAAGCCCAUUACGGUCCGAGUGAAGAGAGCCAGACUGUCUGAAAUCCUUUGCUUCCCAUGAACAGUUGGUACUGGACCAGCGAGCCCCCUCUCUCCCCAGAGGCAGCUGUUCUGUAUGCGGGGCUGGAAGGCUCUGAAGGAGUUUAUGAGGAAGCACAAAGAGGAUCGGGUUGGACUCUGAAGAUCUGGGUUCUUGUUUUAACCAUUCCCCUAAUGGAAAGUUUGUGAUUUCAGACAGCACACUUAAUCUCCUGCUUCAUUUAUUCAUUGGUAAGUGAUAGAUAAUUGUUGAGGACCCCUCCGUCUCUUUCUGCAUUGUAUGCUUAUCUAUGAAGUUUCGUCUCUUCAAUUACAUUUAAAAACACGGUAGAACAAGGUGACAACUGCUCAAACUGGUAACAUGUCUUCAUCAAGUCCAGCAGGGUCGUGUAGAUGUGGACCAGAGGAGACGGCUGAGUGAAAAGAUGACAGUUCUCAAAGUGAAAACUGUUGGACCAGUGAAUAAACCCUGGCUCUCACAGACGUGGAGUGUUCCACAGACUCACGUUCCAUGUGCUCGUGUCAUGUGUUUACAGUAUUGAGAUGAAACAGACCACUCCGUUGUAACUCCAAGACACGGGGAUGAACGUGGGCUUUCUUCUCUACCGGGUGGGAGGGACACCUUGCUACACACAUCGGCACUCUUUGAUUCAUUACUGGUUAAUUUUACAAAAACUGGCAUAACUAUUAUAACGGCAUUUUGAAAAGUCAACUGAGGCAAAAUGAAUAAGAAAAAGGGUUGUCCUCUAGAAGGUCUCAGGCUAGGAGCCCAAAGGCAAAGAAUACAGUUACCACUGGCCUCAGGGACAGAGGUUGGGAAGGCCUUGUGAGAUGCUUAUUGACUCAGGAAGGCGCUAAGAAGGCGCUCCGUGGAAGACCGGGGCAGCUGCUGUUGCUGAUGGGAAACCACAGACACAAGAGCUUUUCUGGGAAAUGCAGUUUGGGGUUAGUUGGCCGACAGAUACAGAUAAUAGUUGCGUCAGGAAAUCGUCUGCAUAAUUUAAAGCAUGGAGCCCCUGCGUCCUGACUCCUAACACAUAGAAUCCAUAGGGCAAAAACAAAAACACCCCACAAGCUUCAGAAGGCCUGAGCGUCUCUGAGCGAAGGUCUGUAGAUGAAGGUUUGAGGCCGAUACCAUCAUUUUUAAAGUAAUGGGGUUGUAAUAAUUACUAUCUCUCUGACAGCUAAAACUUUAUUAUGUUAAACAUUAGAAACAUUGUGUGAAACAUUAGCAACCUAUUUUAAUUUUUGCUGUAACUUGAGCUUAAAUAGAUGUCCAGCAUCCGAACAUUAUUAGAUGAGUGUUUUGUGUAAGCACUGGGAUUACAUGGCUUCACUUAGGACAGGUCAUGUUGGACUGAAUUAACUUCUCCUGGGUAGAGUGAUUAGAAUGCUUUCAGUAAACUACUGACCAAGGGCAUCGUGUAAUAUACUUGGCAGCAAGAUUAGCAAGUAUGGACUGGGUAAGAGAGGAGUGGUUCAUAAACAGUUGGAGACGGUUGAAAGCACUGAGUUAUGGGGUGCUGUCUCCCAGGCUCAGUAAAUGCAGAACCGCCAUUGUACGUAGUUAUUUUCCUGUUACUGGGAGUAUUCAAAUACAGCCUGGACCUCAAUUUUCUACAUAUGCUGUAAAGUGAAUGAAUGUUAACUGUGGCAAAUUCAAUGAACACCAAGAUUCUUGGAAAAAAAGUACAAAAUUAAAAAAUUAACCAUCUCCAGGGAUCCAAAAUGCAC
This is a long non-coding RNA of Ursus thibetanus thibetanus, 2080 nucleotides long. Lineage: Eukaryota; Metazoa; Chordata; Mammalia; Carnivora; Ursidae. The record is from Ensembl.